Molecule: ribosomal RNA, 132 nt
Filed under: Salmonella enterica
Lineage: Bacteria; Pseudomonadati; Pseudomonadota; Gammaproteobacteria; Enterobacterales; Enterobacteriaceae
Also listed under: 4 other names
Description: partial 23S ribosomal RNA
Rfam family: Bacterial large subunit ribosomal RNA
Source: RNAcentral
GGUUAAGCGACUAAGCGUACACGGUGGAUGCCCUGGCAGUCAGAGGCGAUGAAGGGCGUGCUAAUCUGCGAUAAGCGCCGGUAAGGUGAUAUGAACCGUUAUAACCGGCGAUACCCGAAUGGGGAAACCCAG